RNAcentral lists this ribosomal RNA (292 nucleotides) under Tannerellaceae bacterium. RNAcentral's name for it is "partial 23S ribosomal RNA". It matches the Rfam family "Bacterial large subunit ribosomal RNA", at positions 2620 to 2925 of the family's 2925-position model. Lineage: Bacteria; Pseudomonadati; Bacteroidota; Bacteroidia; Bacteroidales; Tannerellaceae. The record is from RNAcentral.
CGUGAGACAGUUCGGUCUCUAUCUAUCGUGGGCGCAGGAGAUUUGCGAGGGUCUGACACUAGUACGAGAGGACCGUGUUGGACAGACCUCUGGUAAACCGGUUGUUCCGCCAGGAGCAUAGCCGGGUAUCUACGUCUGGUAAGGAUAAGCGCUGAAAGCAUCUAAGUGCGAAGCCAGCCUCAAGAUUAGAUCUCCAUAGAGGGUCGUUGUAGACGACAACGUAGAUAGGCUACAGGUGUAAAUGCAGUAAUGUAAAAGCCGAGUAGUACUAAUAGCCCGAAACUUUCCUUAC